Molecule: long non-coding RNA, 2610 nt
Organism: Diorhabda carinulata
Lineage: Eukaryota; Metazoa; Arthropoda; Insecta; Coleoptera; Chrysomelidae
Exons: 2
Source: RefSeq, a predicted model, not a curated record
GGAUUUCUAAAUAAUAUUUAUAUUCUUAGGUUUUACGUCGAUUUAGUUCUUUCACUUUCAUAAUUAUUUUCACCUACAUUUUGAAGAUUAAUGAAAAUAUAAUAAAUUACAAACAUACAACAACGUUUUUAUGCAUUUGUUUUCUUAUCACAAAUCGAAUACGUGAUAAAUACAGUUUCUAUUUGUGUGAUUGAAAGAUAAAACUGAAUUUAUGAAUAAUUAUUAGUGUUAACAAUGUGCUGUAGAUAACGUGUUUAUCUGGAUGCAUCGUUUUUAAAAAACAGUAAAUAAAGUUAGAAAGUCGUAGUCGUUUUAAAUUUUUUUAACAUGAAUCGUAGUAGUGAGAUAUUAACCACUUCUGGUAAUGAAGAGAAAGGUAGAAGUGAUUGCAAACCUCCCGCAUCAUCACUAAAUGUUAUAUCACCAUGGAACAAGCAAAAAUCAAUUAGUUUUAUAACUUUAAUAAUAUGUUUUGUUAUUUGGUCGGCUAUAUUUUUUCCAUUAUUGAAGAAAUACGACCAAAGUAGUAUGGAUAUGGAUGAUGAUAUGCAUAUGUGAAGAUAUUUAAAUUGUUUCGAUUUAUAUUAUUAUAAUUACAUCACUGUUUAUAGUAAAUUUGUAUACUCUUAAACCUAAACUAGUAAUUGAAUCAUACGUUUCAUUUAUCACCAAAUUCUCUAUACCAAAUGUCUUUUAUUUAUAUUAUUGAAAUGUAUAUAUAAACCCUGUAUAUAGACAAGACAUCCAUAAAAAUUAGUACCGUCUAAGGAACUUUGCUGUAGAAUUGCGACAAAAGCUGAAACCCCAGGAACAGUGUUGCCACAAUUUAAAAGCUGAAUGUAAAAAUUGAACUAGAUUGUACCAACUUCAAACAAAUUUAAUAAAAUUAUAGAAAGAUGUAUAAAUAUAAGUUUAAAUUAAAUUUUUUUUCCAAAAAUGUUAUAGACUGUCAAUUAUUAUUUUAAGGAUGAAAAAUUUAUAUAAAGUUUACCGAUAAAAUUAGCAAUGCAGUACAAAAAUCUCACGAUCUAAAUAUAAAUCGACUUGGCUCUGUUUUCUAAUUAUUGUUACAAUCUAGUACAAUUUCUAGUUUAUUUUAUUAAACGAAAAUAUAAAAUAACUUUAUAUUUGCGAACGCAGGGAAAAUGUAUUAGAAAAAAGGAAAAAUGUACUAGCGUAUAAAAUACACUAAAAUUGUACAAUUGUACUAGCUCUGGCAACACUGCCCAGGAAAUCGCUAUCGUGACGUUAGAUGUCGUAAAGUACAAGAUAAAACACUGAGAGAACGUUCCACUAAGAGCGAAAAGUUGAUAUUAAGAUAGAGAGAGCGUCAUGUUGGUGGAAUUGUACUAUUGGAAGAAAGGGAAAGAGCAUAGGUUUACACUCUCUAAUCAAUAUUAAAAUUAAAACUUUUUAUUCUCCUCCUUCUCUGUUUCCCACACCUCGAAACUUAGACGUCAUCAAAGAUUUGAACGUCAUGGUGAACUAAUCAGAAUAGAGUAGAGAGUAGUAAACCGAUGAUCUAUCUUUUUCUAUAAUUCAUAACUCGCUCUCUCUAUCUUUGAUAUCCAGUAAUUUGAGGGCGCGAGAUCUCGCGAUAAUCAUUCUACACUAUAGGGGGUGUUAUCAUCAUUGCGGAAAUUAAGUGAUAUGUACACUGAAAAAACAAGCCGAAAUCUAUAUAUAUAUAUAAAUACAUUUUCUUCUUAGGAUAUUCUGAUGUGUCAUACCCAUCUAAAAAGUUGAACGCAGUUUAUCGCCUUUUUGGUAGCUCUCUACCAUUAUCUUAUAAUUCUCAUGUUAAAUAGGUAUAAGCAAAAUAACAAGAUUCUCCAAUAUUUUAUCCAACAUAAUUAUUUUAGGAAACUUUUUUAUGUAGAAUCAUUGAAAGCAAAAUAUUACUCUUGAUAAUUGUAAUUAAAAUAGCUAAAAAAAUGAAAUGAUGGAACACGGAGGCAUCAGAAACCAUAUAUGAAAUACUUCUGCAUGGACAGUUCUUAUGGGAGAAAACGUCUCUACGUUACGGUGCCGACAAUAUUAAUUUUCUCUGUCGUUAGAAACACUUUAUCUAUACUGCGCAGAGCUAACUGAAACGCCCAGAAAAGAGAGAGAGAACGAUACACUAUUUGUUUCACUUAGUCGGAACAUAGGAGUAUUACAUUACAUAUAUAAACCACCUAUUAUGUCUCAAGGUUAAAUCAGUUUUCUAAUCAAACUUUAGAACCCUAGGGAAUUGCCAGCCUAAGUAGAUGUAAAGUUGGCGAACUUGAAACAAAACUGAAUCAUUUGAUGUUGGUAUGCAUUGUUGAGAGUGUAAGAGAGAUUUUAAAAACAGAAAUUAUUAGAAUAGGAUAGUAAAUUGAAAUCUUAUUUCUAAGUCAUAAUUAUUUUAGAAAAAUCUAUUCGAAAAUUGUACAUGAAAUAUUUAAUAUCCUCAUGGUGAAUCUUCGAACAAUAAUUUGCUGUUUACAGAUGAACAGUUUUUCAACUUUUCAACAAGAGAUACUGCUCCUUACCUCUACCCUCCAUAUUUGCGUCCUGAUCGAUUUUUUUGUCCUUUUCAUUAUGUUAAUUUUUCAAAAUGACUUUUAAUAAAUGUGUAUAAGAUUG